CGUAGGGUGCAAGCGUUAAUCGGAAUUACUGGGCGUAAAGCGUGCGCAGGCGGUUAUGUAAGACAGUUGUGAAAUCCCCGGGCUCAACCUGGGAACUGCAUCUGUGACUGCAUAGCUAGAGUACGGUAGGGGGGGAUGGAAUUCCGCGUGUAGCAGUGAAAUGCGUAGAUAUGCGGAGGAACACCGAUGGCGAAGGCAAUCCCCUGGACCUGUACUGACGCUCAUGCACGAAAGCGUGGGGAGCAAACAGGAUUAGAUACCCUGGUAGUCCACGCCCUAAACGAUGUCAACUGGUUGUUGGGUCUUCACUGACUCAGUAACGAAGCUAACGCGUGAAGUUGACCGCCUGGGGAGUACGGCCGCAAGGUUG
RNAcentral lists this ribosomal RNA (370 nucleotides) under uncultured organism. RNAcentral's name for it is "bacterial SSU rRNA". It matches the Rfam family "Bacterial small subunit ribosomal RNA", at positions 526 to 896 of the family's 1533-position model. The record is from RNAcentral.